RNAcentral lists this transfer RNA (90 nucleotides) under Rhodospirillales bacterium. RNAcentral's name for it is "tRNA-Ser". It matches the Rfam family "tRNA". Rfam says of the family: Transfer RNA (tRNA) molecules are approximately 80 nucleotides in length. Their secondary structure includes four short double-helical elements and three loops (D, anti-codon, and T loops). Further hydrogen bonds mediate the characteristic L-shaped molecular structure. tRNAs have two regions of fundamental functional importance: the anti-codon, which is responsible for specific mRNA codon recognition, and the 3' end, to which the tRNAs corresponding amino acid is attached (by aminoacyl-tRNA synthetases). tRNAs cope with the degeneracy of the genetic code in two manners: having more than one tRNA (with a specific anti-codon) for a particular amino acid; and 'wobble' base-pairing, i.e. permitting non-standard base-pairing at the 3rd anti-codon position. The record is from RNAcentral. Lineage: Bacteria; Pseudomonadati; Pseudomonadota; Alphaproteobacteria; Rhodospirillales.
GGAUGGGUGCCCGAGUGGUUUAAGGGACCGGUCUUGAAAACCGGCAGGGGUUAGCGCCCCUCGUGGGUUCGAAUCCCACCCCAUCCGCCA